GGGAUGGGCUGAGAGUGGCUGAGGGUUGGGAUUAAAGAGCUGAGGUCUAUGGUGAUAGGUGGGAUGGGCUGAGAGUGGCUGAGGGUUGGGAUUAAAGAGCUGAGGUCUAUGGUGAUAGGUGGGAUGGGCUGAGAGUGGCUGAGGGUUGGGAUUAAAGAGCUGAGGUCUAUGGUGAUAGGUGGG
Oncorhynchus keta (chum salmon) is the source of this 183-nucleotide long non-coding RNA. RefSeq lists it as uncharacterized. NCBI's taxonomy places the organism in Eukaryota, Metazoa, Chordata, Actinopteri, Salmoniformes, Salmonidae. The transcript has 3 exons. The record is from RefSeq and is a predicted model, not a curated record.